Molecule: ribosomal RNA, 1341 nt
Filed under: Triticum aestivum (bread wheat)
Lineage: Eukaryota; Viridiplantae; Streptophyta; Magnoliopsida; Poales; Poaceae
Description: partial small subunit ribosomal RNA
Source: RNAcentral
AAUUUGCUCAUAUUUUCAACAAUCCAAAAACCUGAUUAUAGGCAAUUUACUCCGAGUGGUUUUGCUGCGCAUCUAAAGCCGCCUGCCUUUAAGGGGGCGCAAUAUAAGAGGUGGAGCACGAGAGCAGUCUACUGGUUUCAGACCAUGGGCUGCUAUGAUGCCACCAAGGGAAAGCCUGAGGGCGAUCUUAAUCCAGCACAGCUGGAAGCUUUUGAGAAGAUCGAUACCCUCUUUAAAGGUGCUCUUCUGAGUGUUCUUGAUGACUCCAUUGUGGAUUCGUAUAUGUCGUUUGACAACGGCAAGGACAUGUGGGCUGCGCUCGAGGCCAAGUUUGGUGCCUCGGACGCUGGCAGUGAGUUGUACGUCAUGGAGCAAUUCUAUGACUACAAGAUGACUGAUGAGCGCCCUGUUGUACAGCAGGCUCAUGAGAUACAGUCGCUCGCAAAAGAACUUGAGUACUUCAAGUGUGUGUUGCCGGACAAAUUUGUUGCCGGAGGCAUCAUUGCCAAGCUUCCACCUUCGUGGAACAAUUUUGCUACUUCCCUGAAACACAAGAGACAGGAGUUUUCCGUUGCAGAUCUCAUUGGUAAUCUUGAUGUUGAAGAGAAGGCGAGAGCAAAGGACACACGUGCUCGAGUUGCUGAGGGAGGUUCUAGUGCCCACAUGGUACAGAAGAAGAACUCCCAGCCCAACAAGUUCAAAAACAAUAAGAACAAAACUCAGGGCAAAGGCAAGUUUGAUACAAAGAACAAGCCAUCACAUUCUACCAACUUCAAGAAGAAUUCUCAUAAGAAGGGGAAGGGACUUUGCCAUGUCUGCGGUGAUCCUAAUCACUGGGCUCCGAAGUGUCCUAACCGCUUUGAGGAGCGCGAACAUGAGAAGAGCGGCAAGUCUGCUAAUGUUGUCAUCGGUGAUAUUGAUAUGAAGGAAUCAGGGUACGGUAUUUUUCCUACCAUCCUUUCAGUAUUUCAAUCCCCUGAUUGGUUAAUUGACACCGGUGCCAAUGUACAUGUUUGUGCUGACGCCUCCAUGUUUUCUUCUUACCAGGCAACAGGGACUUCACCUGUGCUGAUGGGGAACGGGUCACAUGCCAUCGUUCUAGGUGUUGGUACGGUCGAUUUGAAGUUUACUUCGGGGAAGACUGUGCGUCUGAAGAACGUUCAUCAUGUGCCGUCCAUCAAUAAAAAUCUCAUUAGCGGUUCCCGUUUAUGUCGAGAUGGUUUUAAGUUGGUUUUCGAAUCCAAUAAAGUUGUAAUCUCUAAGUGUGGACAAUUUUUUGGAAAAGGCUAUGAGUGCGGAGGCUUGUUCCGCCUAUCUUUGUUAGAUAUUUGCACUAAAGUU